Molecule: transfer RNA, 68 nt
Filed under: Odocoileus virginianus texanus
Lineage: Eukaryota; Metazoa; Chordata; Mammalia; Artiodactyla; Cervidae
Also listed under: 2 other names
Rfam family: tRNA
About the family: Transfer RNA (tRNA) molecules are approximately 80 nucleotides in length.
Source: Rfam by way of RNAcentral
GGUAAAAUGGCUGAGUGAAGCAUUAGACUGUAAAUCUAAAGACAGGGGUUUAAUUCCUCUUUUUACCA